This is a long non-coding RNA of Chelmon rostratus (copperband butterflyfish), 1450 nucleotides long. RefSeq lists it as uncharacterized. The record is from RefSeq and is a predicted model, not a curated record. The transcript is spliced from 6 exons. NCBI's taxonomy places the organism in Eukaryota, Metazoa, Chordata, Actinopteri, Chaetodontiformes, Chaetodontidae.
GUCACAUCCGGAUAGCUAGAGCAAUUGACUGCACGGUGUACGGAGAAAAGAAGAAGACUGAAUACUUGUGUUCAACGUCCAGCAUCAAGAUAGAAACAAGGUUUGCAGAGAUGAAGCCAGGCCCUGCCCUGCUUAGACCUCCUGACUGACAUCUGCUGCUCAAGUAUGACUUUGUGAACUAAAAGGAGUGGAAAACUGAGCACUUUCAGAGGCAUUUGGCUGCUGAUCAGAGCAGAUGUCUGUCACAGGUCUCGAGUUGAAAAGGCUUCACCAGCCUCAGUGAGAGAGUUUACCAGUAAUCAUGUGGAUCGAUGUCCAGGCUCCUCCUUGAAACCAGAGUACACUACAAACAUCAGGGUUUGAUGCUGAUUUCAUCUGGGAGUUGGAGGAUCGGCUCAUCUGCUGAGGGAAAUUAAAGUCAUAUUUGGACGUCAAACCUUGAGAUAGUUCUCAGUUUUGGCUGAUUUGCAAACUUGCGCAUUUGCAAAAAAAAGGUCUUCUGUUAUAGUAAAGAGGAAGAAUAUUUUUGUGUGUGUUCUGAGUUUUAAUGGCUAACAGUAAGAUUUGUCUUUAUGGUAAAACCAUUUGUACAAAGGAUUGACAAGAAUCUCUUGAAAUAAACAUCCUUAACACAAUUGCUGUGGUUGUAACUUGAUUUGCAGUCAGAAGAAAACAUAAGUAAACAUAAGUCCCUGUAUUAUGAUAGAACAAGAAAUAAAUUCAGGCUACAGCUGGUGUCAUAUUUAUCACAGACUGUGGUGAUCAUUGUGCUUUUGUGCAACAGGAUUUGCCUUGACUGUCGCCAACUGGCAAAGGACAGACUCAUUUAAAUUCCCUGGAGCUAAAAAAGGUUUAUAAAUCAAAAUGUGAUGCAAUUUCUUGUGCUGAUGAGAUAAACAGUUUAGAAUUUGUAGUUAAUGUUACAUGUGCAGUUGUCAAUCUGUAAAACAAAGCAGUUUCUGGAGAUGUAAGUGGUUUCAGCAGCAUUUUAUUUUGUGGAUACACGAACAUCCAAUCUGAUAAAGAUAAUUGGGUCUGCAGUUAAGAUCUUUGCUUAGAAAGCGAAAGUUUGAAGACGUAUAGUUAGAAAUUGUGCAAACGUGGUACCUAUUUGUGAAUUCUGCGGCAAAGAAUGUGUAAUAUUGGGCAACAUCCAUGUGAGGGCGAUAUUGCAUUACCUGAUGUAAACAGAAGAAACAUUUUGACCUACAGUUUUUCAUUCUCUAUUUAAUACCAAUAAAUAUUAAAAUAUAAUUUCAUCAAUGUUUUUACUGCAAUCCAACAGAUAUUUACCUCACACCUGAGCAUUAACAUUUCUGUGGAUUAAAGGGAAAUUGCAGUUCUUUUCACUUAAUUUAUAUAUUUUACUCAUGUAAACCAAGGGUGGAGACUGGCAUCUUAAACACAGAUUAAAUAAUUUUUAAGCAGCAAUGCUGUGGGUGCUGCAUGU